CAUUAAAUUGUAUUAAAUUGUA
Molecule: small nuclear RNA, 22 nt
Filed under: Arabidopsis thaliana (thale cress)
Lineage: Eukaryota; Viridiplantae; Streptophyta; Magnoliopsida; Brassicales; Brassicaceae
Description: snRNA_09411
Source: RNAcentral